This is a long non-coding RNA of Cotesia glomerata, 3804 nucleotides long. RefSeq lists it as uncharacterized. NCBI's taxonomy places the organism in Eukaryota, Metazoa, Arthropoda, Insecta, Hymenoptera, Braconidae. The transcript has 11 exons. The record is from RefSeq and is a predicted model, not a curated record.
CCAUCAGCUCUGAAAAACAUAAUUGAUUGGAAUUAUUCAUGGAACUGGUGGGAGAUGGAGCGAGUCAUUUUUCCGGAAUUCAAGAACAGGAUUGUGAACUUUUUAUCUACCGCAGAAUAGAAGACCACUGCAUGUGAAUCAUGAUACAAUUGUCCGGAAAACUCGAGGAUAAGCCACUGUACGACGCGUCAUUUAUAGUUCAAGGUAAAAAAAGUUUAACAGAGAGGGGCACUAAAUAGAGGGAAACAACAGCUGAGAUAAAACGGACAAAAUUAUCACCGCACCGAUAAGAUAAGUCUUUUCAUUGAUUAUCUGUAUAAUCGAAAUAUUUUUACUAUCUGGUUUUUUCUAUAAGAAUUUUGAAGCUACAUUUCUUCUUUAUUUUUUUAAAAUACAACAAAUUUCGAAAAAAAUAAAUUUAAAAAAAUAUCAAACUUGGUGCAAAUUAACAUUAAUACGCUCUCUGAAAAGUCCUUGAAACUUGCAAUAUCUCAAAAAAUUACGCAAAUGUGUGUAAAAACAAAUUAAUCCGAUAAUUAUAACAAGAAAAUAAUAAUAUACAUAUUAUAUUUAUGAGAAGGAAUAACUGUAUAAAUAGUAGACUAGAUGUAGAAGAAUGAAGACGUGAGAGGAGGAGAGAAAAAGAGGUAUGGUACUUUUACAAUCAAGUAUGAGGAUGAUGAAUAAAAUUUGGAACCGUUACUCGCCCCGUUACUUUUCCUCCUUUUAAAUCUUUAUAACGUCCCCAAUAUAUGCAUAUAUAUAUAUAAACAUAUAUCCAAAUAGAACGAACCUCAAUAAUUAUCCUCCAGUUUUAAAGGUAAAUCUUUCACUAGUGCAAUUAAUAACCACUAAAUAAUAAAUAACGAAAGAUAAAUGACUUAUAAAUUGCCGAGUGAUGUAAUAAUUACAUAAUUCAGAUUACGGACGCUUAAUUAUAUCGAUGAGCUAUUGUUUUCCUUAUUAAAGGGAUUAACAUUCCCACAUUGUUACCUGGAUGUAGCUUACGCAAUUUACUGGAGAAGUGGAUUAAUUAUUAAUAGAUAAUAAUGCCUAAAGUCGUCAAGCAACGUUCAAAAAUUCGAUCGAUUUAAUGUCUGGAUAUUAUUAAUAAAUCGUAGGAUGAUUAAUUAUUUAAAUCUUAUUGAUUAGCCAAUUUAAAUGUUAAUGAUCUCUUAGUUAGUAUAAUUCUAGUAUCUAAAGGUUUAUUCAAUUUUGUUUUGUAUGAGCUAUUAAUUAUCGAGCGUUCUAUUUCGGUAAAGUUUAUAUUGUUAAGAGAGGUAUAUUUUUUUUUUUAAACAAAACGCCCACCUUAAGACGUAGUAUAUUUUAUUAACGGUAUAUUUUGUGAUAUUCUCGCGGGUCUUUGUUAUCAAAGGCGACUAAUUCAUUGACAUGACUUGGAAGAUAUCCAAACCCUCUUGAAACGUCAUUGUCUUUUCUUCUUUAUGAAACAAUUCGCGACAAUUAUCAUCUCCCGUUUUACUAUACAAACUUACACAUAUUUAUUUUAGACUUUAUGUACAAGCUUAUUUUUAUUUAUUUAUUUAUUUAUAAUGUUAUUUUUACUUUUCUUUUAUCACCGUGAGGUUGUGAAAUUGAGUUCGAUGGCACCGGAGGAAGUGGCAACUACGACACUCAAUGAUAUUAUUAAACAAAAGAACAUUAUUUAAGAAAACUACGCAUUUAUAAAAUUGAGGAAAUAAAAAAUAUCAAUUGAUAGUACUUAUUGUCAAUAAAAAAAAAAAAUUUCUUGGAGCCGGAUAAGAAAAACUACGCAUUUAAAGUGCGCACUUGAUAUUUGUUUUGUUGUUUUGAUAAAUAAAAUAUUUUUGUUUAUCAAAUGAUUUUGUAAUGCGGGAAAAUUUUAAAACAAACUUUAUGUCACUAGUGAUUGUUAUCAAAACAUCAAUGACGAACGAUAAUUACAACUUUCUUUAUGGCAUUAAUCCAAGUCAUCGAACGUAGACCAUAUUUCUAAAUUUAUCGUUAAGGUUGUUGGCCUCGUAAAACUUUACCCGGGUUCAUACAACCGCAAUGUCGUACAAUAAUUUUUAAAUAAAUAAAAAACAGUUUAAAUAAAUAAUCCGACAAGAAGGACGUCAUAAAUUCGCGAUAAAGUAUUUAAAAAUGGACGACGAUCCAGUCAAAGACUUUUCGAGCUAAAUUUAUACAAGUGAAGAAAUAAACAUAAGAAGAACAUCGCGUGCUGAUAUGAUAACAAUUGCGUGGAUCCCACAGCUGAUUAUUUUCCUGAUUUAAUGUGUUGAAACAGCGACAAUGACAUUGAUUGAUUCACAUUUGUUGAAAUCACAAGAUAAACUGAACUCUGAAGCAGUCGACGUCGACGUCUUCCUCGUCUUGGGGGUACUCUUUGGUUGACGUUAUUGUACCAGCGCCGAGGAUAAAGACACAUUGAAUUGUAACUACGUCAGUUAAGCUUUGCUGAAUAGAAGGUGGUGGUCUUGUACAAGCAGAAGAAGAAGAAGAAAUGAAGAAAGAAGAACUGUAUUACACGACAACAACGUAUGUACUGUGCGCGUGCAAGUUUGUAGCCACACGAUCAACGAUGUAGAUGCUGCUGGCUCUAUACUUGCUAGUGAUGCUGCUGAGCAGAGGUUCUGUGUCAUGUCAAGUGACAGAGAUAAAACGUGCGACGUAAGAGAGAGAGACGCGUAAUUCCUGUGCAUGCUAUCUCGGUCAGCAUUGAGUACUUGGCUGUAUAGUAUGUAAUAAAUGUAAUGCACGUGUAAGUAUCAGUGUAUCAAAUACAAGUUGUAUGUAUUUUUAUUGCUGUGUAUCGCUUUAUUUACUUUGAGUCAUUAGUCUUAUUUCGAGCUGCUUUACUGAACUCUUUUAUUUGCUCAAGCUAAUUGUUUGCAUUACGAAUUUAAAUAUUGUGCAUUUUAGAUUUAAGAUUUUGGCACGGAUAAGAAAGGUAGGUCGUGGUAGAGGAAACCGAGAUAAAGAAGAUUCGGAAGAAGCUAUAUCCAAUCGUAAUGUCAAGUCUGGAGAUAAAAAAAAUAAAUAUUAAUAAAUUGUGGUCGUCAAUCGAAAAUAAAUUGACACGGAUGUCCUUGUUUAUUGAUGGGUGAUCAAACCAGUCAGCACUUGAUGCGUCAUUAAUAUCAAUGCGUUCAUUAUUCUUUUGCUUUGAUUUAUUAUUCAUUAGAUGCCUCGUGUCUGAAAAGAGAAAAAAGAAGAUAAUCAGUAUUGUAGUUUUAAGGGAAAAAAGAAUUUAGAUAAAUGUAAACAAUCAAUCAUUAUUAUAAACAUAUUUAUGCCAAGCUUUAGUUUUUACAAUGUUAUUAUGCAACAAUCUGACCAUAAAAGUAAUGCGUGGAGUUGAGUGAGAAUUGUCUUAAGCAAAUGUUCGGAUGAUAAAUUGACAAAUUAUAAUUCAAUGAUAAAUAAAGUAAAUAAAAAAAAUCGAUACUUUUAAGGACCUCGAGUUGACACGCUCGCAUGUACUUACGAUAUGAUGCUAUCAAUUGUUGUGAGAUUGAGAUAUAUAUGUUUUGAGUAGAUGACAGAGGAACAAUGGAUUGUUGAAAGGACCUACCGAUUUAGUAGUCGUUUCUUGAUUUGGAGACCAAGGUCGGCCUUCAGACUUGAUAAAACAUCUUUUUUUUUUUUUUUUUAACACUUUUUAUUAUCUAAAGUUGAAGAAAUAAGGAAAAUUCAAAUUAUUUUAGUUUAAAUGUUAAAUUUUUUUUAUUAAAUAUCAUUGAAUCUUUAUCUAAUUAUUUUUACAAAUAUAACUACAGUAAAUAUAAUCUUGUGUAUUUUAAUAUUACAUUUUGU